Molecule: ribosomal RNA, 466 nt
Filed under: uncultured bacterium
Lineage: Bacteria
Description: partial 16S ribosomal RNA
Rfam family: Bacterial small subunit ribosomal RNA
Source: RNAcentral
GAUGAACGCUGGCGGCGUGCUUAAUACAUGCAAGUCGAACGGAAAGGCUCCUGCUUGCCGGGGUUCUCGAGUGGCGAACGGGUGAGUAUAACGUGGGUGAUCUGCCCUGCACUUAGGGAUAAGCCUGGGAAAAUGGGUAUAAUACCGGAUAGGAUGUUGUUUUGGAUGCCAUUGUGGAAAGUUUUUUCGGUGUGGGAUGAGUUCGCGGUCUAUCAGCUUGUUGGUGGGGUAAUGGCCUACCAAGGCGUCGACAGGUAGCCGGCCUGAGAGGGUGUACGGCCACAUUGGGACUGAGAUACGGCCCAGACUCCUACGGGAGGCAGCAGUGGGGAAUAUUGCACAAUGGGCGCAAGCCUGAUGCAGCGACGCCGCGUGGGGGAUGACGGCCUUCGGGUUGUAAACUCCUUUCGCUAGGGACGAAGCGCAAGUGACGGUACCUGGAGAAGAAGCACCGGCUAACUACGUG